Molecule: transfer RNA, 202 nt
Filed under: Candidatus Aenigmatarchaeota archaeon
Lineage: Archaea; Nanobdellati; Candidatus Aenigmatarchaeota
Description: tRNA-Ser
Source: RNAcentral
GCUGGGGUAGCAAAGCUUGGUAUGCGCCUUUUUGGGCAUCUCGGAAUGGAACAUUCCGAGUUUUCGGAUACGCUCCCGCAAGCGACCAACUGCGCCGGAUUGCUAAUCCGGUGGGCGCAAGCCCGCGCGAGUUCAAGCGCCUUUUUGCUGCGGCAAAAACCCGCGGGAAAAACGGCACGAACGAAUCUCGUCCCCAGCGCCA